This 383-nucleotide ribosomal RNA is filed under the name uncultured bacterium. RNAcentral's name for it is "bacterial SSU rRNA". It matches the Rfam family "Bacterial small subunit ribosomal RNA", at positions 28 to 417 of the family's 1533-position model. The record is from RNAcentral.
AAUGAACGCUGGCGGCGUGCUUUACACAUGCAAGUCGAGCGAGGCGUCCCGCAAGGGAUAGUCGAGCGGCGAACGGGUGAGUAACGCGUGGAUUAUCUGCCCUGAGGUGGGGGAUAACCCGGGGAAACUCGGGCUAAUACCGCAUAUGACCGUGAGGUCAAAGGGGGGUCGCAAGAUCUCUCGCCAUAGGAGGAGUCCGCGUACGAUUAGCUAGUUGGUAGGGUAAUGGCCUACCAAGGCGACGAUCGUUAGCCGGCCUGAGAGGGUGAUCGGCCACACUGGAACUGAGACACGGUCCAGGCUCCUACGGGAGGCAGCAGUGGGGAAUUUUGCGCAAUGGGCUAACGCCUGACGCAGCAACGCCGCGUGGAGGAUGAAGGUCC